RNAcentral lists this long non-coding RNA (645 nucleotides) under Anas platyrhynchos platyrhynchos (common mallard). RNAcentral describes it as "lncRNA (ENSAPLG00000030817.1)". Lineage: Eukaryota; Metazoa; Chordata; Aves; Anseriformes; Anatidae. The record is from RNAcentral.
GGUUGUGGCUGGUAGGGUGUGUUCGGACUUGGGUGUUGCACCAGUCACAGCUGUCAGCAGUAGCAGAACCCGAUAUCUUCUAGGUUUUCUGGAUGUCAGUGUCUUGUGUAGCAUUUGGGGCAGAGACUGAUGGGAAGCCCUACAAUGAAACAGUAUAAAGAAAUGUUGGGGAGAGCACCCAUAAAUUUUCCUGUCAGGGUCCCAGCUUUUCCCUCAGAGGGUCUCCAGGUGGCUAUCACCAGCUCAUCACUCCUAUUUUUCACUAUUCAGUAAAUUAUCCUGGGAAGAGUGGACUAAUCUAACUGUAACAUAACCCCUCCUACAAAACUACAACAUAACUGAGCAGUUUUUAUACAUGUAUGCCACCCAUCCCUGGUCCAUCCCUUCACCAGCUCCAUGCCAGGAGGAGAUAAAUUAAUCUGGAGGUAAGCCUUGUGCCUUUGGCUGAAAUGUAUGUGUGCAGGUUUGUUGCUGCUCUCUACUGGCCAAUCCAUAGUUAAACCCAUAAUCAUAGCCCGUAAAUCAGAGCCUUUAACCUGAGUAAUGCCUAUCUGUUUUUCUGAAGGUUGUUGCUCUGUGUCUGUUUGUAACAGAACCGUUGAAAUUGGAAGGGACAUCUGGAGAUCACAUAGCCUAAAGCAGUGG